GUACCUGGUUAAGACAUACUUGCCCUUUGGUUAAAAAAUGCCACCUCUCAUUUUGAGGGUUAAAAUGAGUCCAAAUAUUACUUUUUGGGACUAAAUUCUGACUUUGGCUAUCAUCUAACUAUUAGUUUCUUAUGCAGCUCUCUCUAUUGGUCAACUAAUGUACUAUUUGUCCUUUGGUUGCAUAUCACGGUUUCCCAUGCUGGCUCUGCUCCUCCUUUCUUAUGCGUAUCGUUUACACUUUCUCAUACCUACUUCUAAUAUCACAUAACAACUGUCUUUUUGAUAUCACCUCUCUCAUCUCUCUCAUCUCUUUCCUCACCGUUUUCAGCUUAUUUCGUCUUUCCUUCGCUAUUUAGAUUUACAAAACACCGACGAUGAUGUUGUUGAUAUUUCGUUGUUGUUGCAGAUUUCGAGAAAUUGGAUUCAGUUGAUCUAAACUAUUUCAUCAACAAGUUGUUGAGAAGCUACAUGGCAAGUAUGUCUGAAAUUCGAAGAUGGAAAAUACUGGAAAGUUAUGUGAGUCUAUAACUUUCAUAUACUACAAGUUUUUGUGUGUUUGUCUGAUUUAUUAUCCCCACUAGCUGUUUGAUGAAAUGCUUAUCUUUUGUUUGAAUAAAUAAUAAAUUGUUUUAGUGUUGGAACUAAUAUUUUGGUUACAAGCAGGUUCAAGUUUAAGUAGCUGCUUGAUGGACAGAAUAUUGUAGAGUUAUUUUUUGAACAAAAGAGAAAUACAUUAGUUUCGUAACAUAAGUUAUUAUCGGGAGCUGCAAGGAAGUUUGUGCGUAACAAAAGCUUUGAAUGUAGGUCCUUCAUGAAGAUUUGAAUCGUGUUAAAUGUAAGCCUUAUGUUGAAGCCGAGGAUGGAGAUGGCCGGCCAGAUGAAGCAGUUGUUGAUGAAUAUUGACAUUAUCAUCUGGAUUGCAAUGAUUUAGUCGUUGUUGAUGUGUUCCAAGUAUGUAUUCAUCUCAUUUUAUGCAAUUAUUUACUUCACCAUGGCACAUACAUGAUAUCCAACGCUUCCAUGGCUUAAGGUUUGCACUGAGGAUGUUUCUUUUACAAAUCAUCUAUCUCCUGAAAAAGAUGGAGUUGGCUCAAGUAAAAACAAGCACUGGGCUUUCAAGAACUGUUGUUGAGGGAGGAUGACGAUGUUGGAUGGUUUGAGGUUGAGAAACAGUUUGAGAUUCUUACGAAUUCGAGGGAGGAUGGUUUGCUUCAUCGUUCUCUCUUUUAUGACAGGACACCGUGUUUGAUCCAGUUUCUCUAACUUGUGGUCAUAUAUUCUGUUACAUCUGUGCUUGCUCGGCUGCAUCGGUAUCUGUUGUCGAUGGACUUAAGGCCGCGAAUCCUAAAGAAAAAUGUCCUCUGUGCCGCGAGGUGGAGAUUAUGAUAUUUUAGCUGAAAGUGUGGAAGAUGGUAGACUUUUUUUUGUUGGAGAAGCAACCAAUAGGCGUUAUCCUGCUACUAUGCACGAGGCUUUUCUAAGUGGUCUACGAGAAGCAGGAAAUAUGGCCCACCAUGCUAAUAAAUAAUAAUUGAUCAAUGAAUGUGAAGGUUGAAAAGUCUCCUUCAAAUGCUCAUACUUGUGCUUCCCUUCUUGCAUAUUUAUUUAAAUGAGAUUGAAUCACCUUUGCGAAAAGCUAAGAGUGAAGCUGGUGGGAACAAAAGGAUUGGGGCUGAAUGCUGAUUCUUUCAUUGCUUUUGUUAAAGCCGAGAGGGGCAAUCGUGAACCUGUUUCAACUUCUAUGUCUCUUAAACUAGGUGAAGAGAACUGAUAUAAUGGGGGCGUCAUGAUUUAGGCGUGUGCGUUUCGUCGGCAUUGGAGCUUCGCAUGGAGGACGAAGAUUGUGUCCGCAAUGGUGUCAUGAGCUAUUUCGGCCAAUGCAGAGGAAGAAAAAGGUCUUCACUGCAGCAGUCUUGGCCCUCUCUUUUUCUCCUUCUAUUUCACUUUUAUUUUAUCUAUUUUUGUGUGUUGUGAUUCUCUACUUUCAUAGGUUCUAAGUGUUGUUGUUACGUUGCUUAUCUUGAGGUUAGUUAUGAGAAAAGUGAAGGUUUGAAUGAUGGUGAUGUUGAAGGUUUGAAUGAUGUGGAUGUUUAAGAUUAAGUUAUGGGAGGAGAGUUUGAUUGGAAGAGAAUGGUUUUAUGGUGAUGUUGUAAUAUGGUUUGAGCAGAACUUCAGUAGAUUCUAAAAUACUCAUGAAUAUGUAGUCUUAAAGAAUAUAGUUUUCAUUAUCAAUUUAUAAUUGUUAAUUUAAGUAAGGUGUGUAUGUGUUUCUGUUAAGCUC
Molecule: long non-coding RNA, 2281 nt
Organism: Vicia villosa (hairy vetch)
Lineage: Eukaryota; Viridiplantae; Streptophyta; Magnoliopsida; Fabales; Fabaceae
Exons: 6
Source: RefSeq, a predicted model, not a curated record